AGGGCACCACCAGGAGUGGAGCCUGCGGCUUAAUUUGACUCAACACGGGAAAACUCACCCGGCCCGGACACUGGAAGGAUUGACAGAUUGAGAGCUCUUUCUUGAUUCAGUGGGUGGUGGUGCAUGGCCGUUCUUAGUUGGUGGAGCGAUUUGUCUGGUUUAUUCCGAUAACGAACGAGACUCUAGCCUACUAAAUAGAUCGUUGGCUUACAAACGCCGAUGAGACUUCUUAGAGGGACAGGCGGCGAUUCAGCCGCACGAAACAGAGCAAUAACAGGUCUGUGAUGCCUUAGAUGUCCGGGGCCGCACGCGCGCUACACUGAAGUGAUCAGCGUGCAUUUUCAGCCUACUCUGGCCAAGAGUGGGGAAACCCAUGGAACCUUCCUUCGUGAUUGGGGAUAGGAGAUCGUAAUUAUUCUUCCUUGAACAGGGAAUUCCCAGUAAGCGCGAGUCUUAAGCUCGGGUUUAUUACGUCCCUGCCCUUUGGAAAACGGCCGUGCUUAUUCGAAUGAAGGUUAA
RNAcentral lists this ribosomal RNA (519 nucleotides) under uncultured eukaryote. RNAcentral's name for it is "bacterial SSU rRNA". It matches the Rfam family "Eukaryotic small subunit ribosomal RNA", at positions 1161 to 1662 of the family's 1831-position model. The record is from RNAcentral.